RNAcentral lists this transfer RNA (74 nucleotides) under Scleropages jardinii (Australian bonytongue). Its description in RNAcentral is "tRNA-Lys". It matches the Rfam family "tRNA". From Rfam's summary of the family: Transfer RNA (tRNA) molecules are approximately 80 nucleotides in length. The record is from RNAcentral. Lineage: Eukaryota; Metazoa; Chordata; Actinopteri; Osteoglossiformes; Osteoglossidae.
CACUAAGAAGCUAAACCGGGACCAGCACUAGCCUUUUAAGCUAGAGAUUGGCGGACCCCACCCGCCCUUGGUGG